CUUUGGUUUUGUAAUUGAAUUGAGAACAAUGUACAAUCGUUAUCGAUAAACAAUUGGAGGGCAAGUCUGGUGCCAGCAGCCGCGGUAAUUCCAGCUCCAAUAGCGUAUAUUAACGUUGUUGCAGUUAAAAAGCUCGUAGUUGAAGUUUAGAUAAUUUAUUGAAAGUGUUUGUAUUCGUACAUUCUACUUUUAUGUAAGUUAUCGACAUCCAGGUGGGUGCUCUGAUUCCUUCGGGGGUUAGGGUACUAGACUGGUCAUUUACUGUGAGAAAAUUAGAGUGUUUAAAGCAGACUUUCUAAAUAGUUUGAAUAGAUUAGCAUGGAAUAAUAAGAUUGGCUUUCAUAGUCGAUUUUUUGGUUUGUUUAUGAAAGCAAGAUUAAUAGGGACAGUUGGGGGUAUUCAUAUUCAAUAGCUAGAGGUGAAAUUCUAUGAUUUAUGGAAGAUGAACAAGUGCGAAAGCA
RNAcentral lists this ribosomal RNA (461 nucleotides) under Blastocystis sp. Its description in RNAcentral is "SSU rRNA". It matches the Rfam family "Eukaryotic small subunit ribosomal RNA", at positions 495 to 953 of the family's 1831-position model. The record is from RNAcentral. Lineage: Eukaryota; Bigyra; Opalinata; Blastocystidae.